UGUUUAAUGUAUGAGUGUGUUGUCUGCAUGUAUACCUGUGUGGUAGAAGAGAACAUCAGAUCCCAUUACAGAUGGUCAUGAGUGAGAAUUGAACUUAGGACCUCUGGAAGAGCAGCCAGUGUUCUUAACCACUGAGUCAUCUCUCCAGUCCAAAAUCUCUCAUUUUUAAAACAACAGGAAUGGAAAAGUUAAGAGUUACAGUGAUGGAUGUAAUUGACUACCUAUCCGUGUUGACAGAAGGCUCAGGACUACGCUCCUCACUGUAAUGGAUGGCCCAGGAGACACAUGAACCUAGUGUCCUCCCUCAGUCAGCACUAGCUCGAGCUCUGCCUUUUUCUUUAGUAUGUGUUCAUGCAUGUACAUAUGCACACAUGCCUGUGUGCUUGUGAAAUUAGUUCUCUUCUUUUACCUUACAUGGUUCUAAGGAUUAAAUUCUGUGUAUCAGGCUUGCAGAGCAAGUGCCGUUACCUGCUAAGCCAUCUUGCUGCCCCUGAAUGCUUCUUAGGAUCAUCUGACAGUAAUUGUUUAAAGGGGGGAGGUGUUUAGGGGUAACCAGCUACUCUUUGGUUAUAUUUGAGGCUGGCACUACAAGAAUUCACCAUGAACCCCUGUAAACCUGCUGAGAAACCCAUGGUCAUGAGGCUGCUGUGAACCGGGAAUGAUGUACCUUCAAAAUAGCUUUGUUUUUGCCUGUGGAUUAGCUCUGCCAUCAAAGUCAGUCACAGAGGUGUAUUUUUUCAGUGGGCGUUGGUAAUUGCAGAGGCUCAUAACUGAUCACAAUGCCAAAAAUGACUGACUUUUGAAAAGUUUGCCUCCAAAUGAGACAUCUGGAUCACCCACUCCUUCCAGGGCCCAGGGAGUGUCAUAGACAAGGGGCUGAGGAAGAAACUAAGAGAUGGCAGAAGCGGUGGAUUGUGGAACACUGUCUUCUGGCCAGGGCAUGGGCAUUGUUGUCCUGAAGCCUCACAGCUCUGAUGGUCAGGACGAGACCUACAUAGCACUGGACCUUUAGCAUUCUGUCAGAGGGAGCCAGAGGAGGGUUCGUGAGGCCCCAUUCCUCCCGGCAGAUACAAGUAGGGAGCAAGAGACAUUUUCUUCAGUUAGCCACUGGUAAGUGUCCAUGUAUAUGUAGGCAGCCCUAAUCAAUCUUAGUGGGUGCCAAAAACCAAAUGAAAGAAAAAGAUGUGAUGGGGCCGGGAACUAGUUGAGAUGAGGAGGACAGUGGGGCAAGGAAGGACUCAGGUGGGUUGAAGUGUGAGUGUUCACAUGUAUGGUUAUUCUGUGGAAACCCCAAGUUUAGGUUGGGUGUUUCUCAACUUUAUUGAGACAGUGUCUCUUGUGAAUCUGAUGUUUCCUGGUUCUGACUAGUCUCGUUAGCUAUCUUGCUCAGGGAUUUUCUGUCUUUGCUUCCCAGAUGCUGGGAUUGCAGUGGUUUUUACAUGGGUCCCAGGAAAGCACUUCAUGUCAUGAACUAGCUCCCUAGUCCCAGGUUUUAAUUUUUUAGAAACAAAAAUAAUUUUUUCCAUUAUCAGUAAUAAAAAGAAAAAAGCUUAAGGCUGGGGAUGUAGUGCUAGCUUGCAAAUCAUGUGCAAGGCCUGACUUCAACCCCAGCAUUGCAAAAAUAAACAAGUAAAUAAAUUAAAAUGAAUAAGUAAGUAGAUAAACCCGAUUCUCUUUAAACUGAAAGGGGGAAGGUGUUUGUUUCAGAUAUUUCAUCAUAUCCAUUCUUAGCUGUAUGGUCACAUAGUCUGAAGUGCUGGAUAUUAAUGUGAGCAAGCCAUUGCAAGGUUUCUGUUUCUCCAUUUGAGCUGUUUCUAGCUUAUAGAAAAGUUGGUACC
Molecule: long non-coding RNA, 1838 nt
Filed under: Mus musculus (house mouse)
Lineage: Eukaryota; Metazoa; Chordata; Mammalia; Rodentia; Muridae
Description: long non-coding RNA chr11:32690105-32691943
Source: RNAcentral